CUCUUCCCCCCCCAUUGGGAUGCCUUUGGGGUGAACCAGCCUUCCUGGAACUCAGCAAGUCCCGUCUGUCACUGAGAGACCUGAAAAUAAAACAGCUCCAAUGGCACCAACUACAGAAAAAUAAAAUGAACCGAAGUUACCACUCGCCCAGACUGGUGAUGAUUGCAGCUCCUCUCCCUCAUCACAGCUCUGCAGCUGUUUGUUGUCAGAAUGGAAAGUACAAGCCCUGGCAUUUCUCCUCUCUGCCGUACUCUGGAUGGCUGCUCAGCACAUCGAGAAGGAAAAUCUCCAAACAAAAAAGCCAAAUCCCAAAACAACAACACUGGGAGCAAGUAAAAGGAACUGGGCAGAUUUUCAGAAGAAACCUAUCUGUUGUACUGUCAGCCUCACUGUUUGUUAAGCCCAACAGCUGUCUACCUGGUGGCCUUCCAGUGUCCAGCUACUGCGUAUCCCAAACCCAGUAUGUAGGGAUCAAAAAAUAUUGUACUCCUUAUCCAUAAGGCAAGAAAAAGCACUGUUCCAUGUUUAAACCUGUUGGGCAUAUAAGACACCGAGACAUUUCUUGCCCUCCUCCAGGAAGCUCCUUAUGUAGCUUUGCUGAGAAGCAUACAGGUUACACAGCAAGGGACUGCAGCAUGAAAUUAAGCUGCAAAAGGGAUGGGAACACAAAUUACCAUUAACAGCCAGUAGCAAUUACCUAUGUGUUACAGCUUGCAUAUAUACAUGAAAAUUCAUACUCAAAAUAUAUACCAAUAUGCAUGCAUAUAAGUUUGGGAAACACAUUUCAUCCUCUCUCACAUAACAGGAGGUAUUUUUGGUGCAGUUUUCUGAAAACUAGGCAAAGGGUGUAAAGUAAAGAAGCUACAGAAGUUGGCAUUAUUUCCACUUAAUCAGUAAGAAAUCAUUACAGCUUUGCUAUGAAAAUGAAACAACUCUAGUCAUACAAGAUACAUCAUGACACAGAAAAAUUAGAAAACACUCUGAGCUCUGCACAGCAAGAUUUGUAAGCCUGCCAGCAGAAUCACAAACUCGCACAGCUCUAAUUUGUCUAGGAAAAAAAGGGGUGUUUAAUUGCUGUGCAUAAUAAACACAGAGACGUCAGAGAGCAGCCAUGGAUAACAUGCACAAGUAGAUUCCAGCUGUAUCGCUAAGGAAAUAUAAAAGUGAUUUAUUUUAUAUCUCGAUGCUAAGUCCAAUAAAUCACAUUAAAAUAAAAUGACUAAAUUUCCCUAAGUGCUCAGCACUCAGCAGCUCUUGCUGGCCUCACUACCGAGCUCUCUUGGAAAUGCAUUCAUUUCAUUUAGGUAUCUGCAGGGUAUGGUGCCAUGCAGCUUUACCUGAGCUGUGAUGGGCUCUGCAAGCAAUAGCUUUUUAGCACGUUCAAUUAGCCCAUACAAAGCUGAGCACUAAUGUAGUCCUCAUGCUCCUAGCACCUGAACUAGUUUAUUGAGAGCUAACUGGUCAGUCUUCUCUCUGCUCCAUGUGCAAAUCCUCCAAGCAUCAGAUGAUUGCUUUCAAAAGCCUGUCCGGUUUGCAUUGCUUAAUUAUAGCCUCUAGGGGCUAGCCCUUGUAUAAAUAUCUAGUCAGAAAUUCAUCUUUGUUCUGCUUCUAGCUACAGCCUGUAAAGAUCACCAGAUGCCUGAUGUGUACAUGAAUUGGAUUAGUACAACAUUAUGUUUAUAUCUCGGAGUUUAUUUCUUUUCACCAAAGAGUGAGUUGAGAGAAUACAAUGGAGCCAACAUACCAGAAAGGAUAUGAAGUACCAUAAAUUUUGGUAUGGAAAGGUCACUAAUUAACCUGCAACUAGCCUAACGUCAAUAUUCGUAUUCUCUUCUCAAGAUAUUUUUUUUAUUGGUAGCUGGAGAGGAAAAGACAUGUUCAUGAAAACAAGGGAGGCAAGGAAGAAUUUUUCUUUAGCUGGGGUGCUCUCCAAGUCACAAUUUAGCCCACUGCAACUGUCUGCCUCAGUGAAAUCCUUAGGGUAUCUUGUAUGCAAAGCAAGUUACUAUCUACUUUGCAAGCAAUUUGGGUUCUUUUUUUUUUUUUUUCCCUAUUCAUUUAACCUUACUUGUCUGAAGAUGUCUAAGACUUUAUUGACUUUAAUUCAGAACUUACAAAUCUUGUCAAAGUGUUGAUAUUUUGUCCUUGACAAAGACAAAUUUUAAUUUAAUAAUCAGUUCUUUUUUACCUUGCCUUCUCUGCUAUAUCAGCUUUAAGACAAAAACAAAAAGUAUUCAUUUCCAUACUGAGAUCACAAAUCACUAUCAAUGUCUUGAGCAGUAGAUGACAAACCACUGUUACGGAGUUUUAUUUGAAGCUUUAGACACCUCUGGAUUUAUCACUUGUCACAGAAAUCUGCACAUUCUCACUAUCUGCAAAUACCCUGUCUUUACUUCAGAGGAUUUUUACAGUAAAGUCAACACAAAAAUUCUGUCUGAAAUUCCCAUAAAAGUAAUAGGGCAAUCAAUAAAGUUGAAUUUAAUGUGAUUUUUUUUUUUUUUUGUAUAUACUUCUUUAAAGAGUAGGAUUUAAGUGAGAAUUGGACCAGUGUUUACCUGAUUCAGGAAAUAUAUUGCUGACUUUCAAGGUAUCUUGAAAAAAAUAUUUAUAAAUUAGGCAAGAACUAUGUGCUUGAAAUUAAUAGCAGAGAUAAGAAUCUGGCUUGCUUUCCCAUCCUCACCCUCUGCUGUUGGUAUACAUGUAACACGCUUAAGAUCUUCCAAGUCCUUCAGAAUUUACAUCAUUCUAAACAAGAACAACACCAGAAAAUCAUGGUAGAUCAUGGUAGACUGUUCACUUUUUCAUUUUAAUGUUGGAGGGUCUUCAGUUUGAAUAAAAAUUGUGCACAACAUUGAGGGCAUUUUUUUCCAUGUUCACAGUGCUGGUAAAAAAGAUUUACCUGAAUAUGAAGAAGAUAUUGCCACAACAAAUAGAGAUAAUAAAUAAAUUCAUCCUUUGUUCUAGUGGAAGGUGCACAGUUGGAGAAAGGAGAGACUUGGGACUCAGGAUUAUUUAGUGCAGGGAACUGUUCAGCCAUCUGUCCAUGAACAGAUAGCAUCCUCUCCCAUUAGUGCUGAAAUAAUCUCUUUGCAACAUCUUGCUAGAUCAAGGUUGGUAAUGAAAAACUGACUGAAAGAAUGGGAUAUAAAAGUCAUGUUGAAGAAAGACAUUAAAAGAAAACUUUAAUAGAGAAGACAGAGGAGAGAAUAUUAUGUUGCUAAGAAUAUAAAGAAAAACAGUGCCCCCCAGAACUCUGGCAUACUCAGAGAGGGAAAACAUAUUCAUAUUAACUAUACAGAUGGAAAAUUCUCUUUGAACACCACAGAAAAAGUACACCAACUCAAACCAGUUAGCCAACAGGUAAAAUAUUCAGCAAAUGUUAAAUGAAAACAUAUUUAAGUAUUUUGAAGAGUUAUCAAAGUGUACAUAAUAAUAGCUAGUAAGAAAAGCUGAGUAAAUCAUUUGCCAGAAUCACUCAUUUAAAAACAAACAAACAAACAACUUUCAGAUAGUUGACAGCUUUUAUAGUUGUCACAUAUGGCUAAGAAAAGGCAUAAGUUUUGAACUACUUCGAAGCAUACAAAAAAGUAUAUAUAUAACUCUAUGCUUAAACAGGUGUUAAACUGCCUCAAGAAAUAAGAAAUAUAAAGAAUACAUGUAAUUUUUUUGAAUGAGAUCUUUUUGAAACUUGGAACUUAACAUUUCUCUGGGAAUUGAAAGGUACUUGAAGCAUUAGGGUGAGAAGAUUCAGGCAUUCAAAGUGUGAAGCCUGUGUUUAAGCUCAUAACCUAUGAUUCAACUACAACCUUCUAUCUACCUGCCACUGUUUAUAUGACAAAUAAAUCAGUGUUAUGGGAUUUACAUAAUUGAUCUGUAUAUAAGCAGCAAGUUAAAAUAAAAUGUUGAACUUCC
Anas platyrhynchos (mallard) is the source of this 3912-nucleotide long non-coding RNA. RefSeq lists it as uncharacterized. The record is from RefSeq and is a predicted model, not a curated record. Lineage: Eukaryota; Metazoa; Chordata; Aves; Anseriformes; Anatidae.